RNAcentral lists this ribosomal RNA (675 nucleotides) under uncultured Vibrionaceae bacterium. RNAcentral describes it as "bacterial SSU rRNA". It matches the Rfam family "Bacterial small subunit ribosomal RNA", at positions 1 to 671 of the family's 1533-position model. The record is from RNAcentral. Lineage: Bacteria; Pseudomonadati; Pseudomonadota; Gammaproteobacteria; Vibrionales; Vibrionaceae.
UAGAGUUUGAUCAUGGCUCAGAUUGAACGCUGGCGGCAGGCUUAACACAUGCAAGUCGAGCGGAAACGAUGAAAAGCUUGCUUUUCAGGCGUCGAGCGGCGGACGGGUGAGUAAUGCUUGGGAAUAUGCCUUAUGGUGGGGGGCAACAGUUGGAAACGACUGCUAGUACCGCAUAACGUCUACGGACCAAAGGGGGGGAUCUUCGGACCUCUCGCCAUUUGAUUAGCCCAAGUGAGAUUAGCUAGUAGGUGAGGUAAAGGCUCACCUAGGCGACGAUCUCUAGCUGGCUUGAGAGGAUGAUCAGCCACACUGGGACUGAGACACGGCCCAGACUCCUACGGGAGGCAGCAGUGGGGAAUAUUGCACAAUGGGGGAAACCCUGAUGCAGCCAUGCCGCGUGUGUGAAGAAGGCCUUCGGGUUGUAAAGCACUUUCAGUUGUGAGGAAAGGGUAUUGGUUAAUAGCCAAUGUCUGUGACGUUAACAACAGAAGAAGCACCGGCUAACUUCGUGCCAGCAGCCGCGGUAAUACGAGGGGUGCAAGCGUUAAUCGGAAUUACCGGGCGUAAAGCGUACGUAGGCGGUUUGUUAAGCAAGAUGUGAAAGCCCAGGGCUCAACCUUGGAACUGCAUUUUGAACUGGCAAACUAGAGUACUGUAGAGGGGGGUAGAAUUUCA